This is a long non-coding RNA of Esox lucius (northern pike), 1113 nucleotides long. The record is from Ensembl. Lineage: Eukaryota; Metazoa; Chordata; Actinopteri; Esociformes; Esocidae.
GAGACAGCAAGGGCUGUAGGGGGCGUGGACGAAGAACAGAGAAUAUGAGUUCUUCAGAAAGUGUAUAGAGUGAGAUCUCCACUGUCAUGUAGACCUUUACAAUGCCUCUGGAUAGAAGGAUGAGAAGCUAGAGAAAGACGGGUUAGAGACUGAAGAGAGCAGAGGACAGAAACCCCUAAUGACAGGCUACUCUGAAUCACCGUGCCGACUAAUGAGCUCUCAGACAUGGGAUUUUUCUGUACUUUGCUGCAGCCAUCUUGCCCUGUAUCUUCACAAGCUUUCCAGUCCUGGAUGAACAGAAGCAUCCCCACAGCAUGAUGCUGCCUCCACCACCAUGCUUCAAGAUAGGGAUGGUGUUCUUAGGAUGAUGUGCAGUGUUGGUUGUUCAAAUUCCAUAAUGAUGGAGCCCACUGUUUUCUUGGGUACCUCAAUGCUGCAGACAUAUUUUGGUAUAAUUCCCCAGAUCUGUAUCUUGACACAAUCCAAUUUCAGAGCUCUAUGAAGCUCCUUUGAGCUCUAUGUAGCUCCUUCGACCUCAUGGCUUGGUUUCUGGUAUCUUGGUAUCUUAUAUCAUGUGUGUGUCAUUCCAAAUCAUGAACAAACAUUUGAAUUCACCAGGUGGACUCCAAUCAAUUUGUAGAAUCAUUUUAAGUAUGAUGAAUGGAAACAGGAUACACCUGAGCUCAAUCAAAUUGUGCGUAUACUUACAGAGGGGAGAACAAGUAUUUGAUACACUGCCGAUUUUGCAGGUUUUCCUACUUACUAAGCAUGUAGAAGUCCGUAAUUUUUAUCAUAGGUACACUUCAACUGUGAGAGACGGAAUCCAGAAAAUCACAUUGUAUGAUUUUUAAAUAAAUGUAAACCUUAUUGAGGGGAGGAUGGAUGGGGCCAUGUAUGCGGAGAUCUUGGCCAACAACCUCCUUCCCUCAGUAAGAGCAUUGAAGAUGGGUCGUGGCUGGGUCUUCCAGCAUGACAACGACCUGAAACACACAGCCAGGGCAACUAAGGAGUGGCUCCGUAAGAAGCAUCUCAAGAUCCUGGAGUGGCCUAGCCAGUCUCCAGACCUGAACCCAAUAGAAAAUCUUUGGAGGGAGCUGAAAGUCUGUAUUGCCC